GAUGAACGCUAGCGGGAGGCCUAACACAUGCAAGUCGAACGGGAUUGGUAGCAAUACCAUGAGAGUGGCGCACGGGUGAGUAACGCGUAUGCAACCUGCCUUUAACUGGGGGAUAGCCCGGAGAAAUUCGGAUUAAUACCGCAUAAAAUUACGGACUGGCAUCGGUUAGUAAUUAAAACUCAGGUGGUUAAAGAUGGGCAUGCGUGACAUUAGCUAGUUGGUAAGGUAACGGCUUACCAAGGCUACGAUGUCUAGGGGUUCUGAGAGGAUGAUCCCCCAACUGGUACUGAGACACGGACCAGACUCCUACGGGAGGCAGCAGUAAGGAAUAUUGGACAAUGGUCGCAAGACUGAUCCAGCCAUGCCGCGUGCAGGAUGAACGAUCUAUGAUCUGUAAACUGCUUUUGUUCGGGAAUAAACCCCUUCACGUGUGGAGGGCUGAAUGUACCGAAAGAAUAAGGGUCGCUAACUUCGUGCCAGCAGCCG
This 486-nucleotide ribosomal RNA is filed under the name uncultured bacterium. RNAcentral describes it as "bacterial SSU rRNA". It matches the Rfam family "Bacterial small subunit ribosomal RNA", at positions 28 to 517 of the family's 1533-position model. The record is from RNAcentral.